AGAAUGCAGGGAUAUAGUGACAGUUACUUGACACAGCGGUUUAGUUGCAUUUCUCCAUACUUUAAAUCCUAGAGAAAUUUGUGAGUGCCUUAGCAGCUUGUGUUUUAAAGCAUUAACCUUUACUAAUAAACAUUGAAAAUUUUAGCAAUAAAUGUAAGUAUUAACGAAACAACUUGAUCAAAACCAGUUAAAGGAGGAAAACAAUACAUGUUGAAAACUUCAGCAAAGCUGCUUCUUGGCCUUUGCUCCAUAUAUCUGACGACCUUGGAAAGUGAUGACUUUAUAGCAUGUGACCACGUGGCUCUCACCACUGUGAGCUCUUCUGAAUUCAUUUGUAACAACUCAAGCUCUCCUAGUUCUCAGUGACUAACAAUCGGUCAACUUACCACCAAAGACGUCUACAAUCCACAUCUAAAGGCAUUUUAAAGCACAGACCAGUGGAUCAACAGCUUUCAUCACAUGAGAAGGAAGAGCUGUGCGAAUUCACAGAGGGUGGUGGUUUUUGUUCUUCAAGGUGAAGAAGUUUCAUUCAAAAGUUGUCAGCUGGUACGAAUCCCUCUGUGGCGUUCCCUGCAUGUGUGGGGCUAAGGUUUGCUGAAUAGUCAAAGAAUGGAAGUCUUUCUCUUUGAAGAUCACCAGGCGCCUACCACGGAGAUACAAUGACAUCCUGUCUAACGGUGGUAACUAGUCUCUACCCAUGUGGUCAGAAAUAAAAAUAAUUGAAACAUGGUGUUA
Rattus norvegicus (Norway rat) is the source of this 735-nucleotide long non-coding RNA. RefSeq lists it as uncharacterized. Lineage: Eukaryota; Metazoa; Chordata; Mammalia; Rodentia; Muridae. The record is from RefSeq and is a predicted model, not a curated record.